Molecule: ribosomal RNA, 253 nt
Filed under: uncultured bacterium
Lineage: Bacteria
Description: partial 16S ribosomal RNA
Rfam family: Bacterial small subunit ribosomal RNA
Source: RNAcentral
AACGUAGGACGCAAGCGUUAUCCGGAGUUACUGGGCGUAAAGCGCGGGCAGGCGGCUCGAUGCGUCUGAUGUGAAAUCUCCUCGCUCAACGGGGAGAGGCCAUUGGAAACGGUCGAGCUGGAGGGCAGUAGAGGUAGGCGGAAUUCCGGGUGGAGGGGUGAAAUGCGUAGAGAUCCGGAGGAACACCAGAGGCGAAGGCGGCCUACUGGGCUGCACCUGACGCUGAGCCGCGAAAGCCAGGGGAGCGAACGGG